UGCGUAGGCGGUUAUCCAAGUCAUAUGUGAAAUACCAGGGCUUAACUUUGGGGGUGCAUAUGAAACUGGACUACUUGAGUACAGGAGAGGCAAGCGGAAUUCCUAGUGUAGCGGUGAAAUGCAUAGAUAUUAGGAGGAACACCAGUGGCGAAGGCGGCUUGCUGGACUGAAACUGACGCUGAGGCACGAAAGCGUGGGGAGCAAACA
RNAcentral lists this ribosomal RNA (207 nucleotides) under uncultured bacterium. RNAcentral's name for it is "partial 16S ribosomal RNA". It matches the Rfam family "Bacterial small subunit ribosomal RNA", at positions 568 to 774 of the family's 1533-position model. The record is from RNAcentral.